RNAcentral lists this ribosomal RNA (260 nucleotides) under uncultured Corynebacterium sp. RNAcentral's name for it is "partial 16S ribosomal RNA". It matches the Rfam family "Bacterial small subunit ribosomal RNA", at positions 656 to 914 of the family's 1533-position model. Lineage: Bacteria; Bacillati; Actinomycetota; Actinomycetes; Mycobacteriales; Corynebacteriaceae. The record is from RNAcentral.
GGAGACUGGAAUUCCUGGUGUACCGGUGAAAUGCGCAGAUAUCAGGAGGAACACCAAUGGCGAAGGCAGGUCUUUGGGCAGUAACUGACGCUGAGGAGCGAAAGCAUGGGUAGCGAACAGGAUUAGAUACCCUGGUAGUCCAUGCCGUAAACGGUGGGCGCUAGGUGUAGGGGUCUUCCACGACUUCUGUGCCGCAUCUAACGCAUUAAGCGCCCCGCCUGGGGAGUACGGCCGCAAGGCUAAAACUCAAAGGAAUUGAC